This 111-nucleotide small RNA is filed under the name Escherichia coli. RNAcentral describes it as "partial RtT sRNA". It matches the Rfam family "RtT RNA", at positions 1 to 109 of the family's 130-position model. Rfam says of the family: This family represents a bacterial cis-regulatory element known as RtT RNA. Lineage: Bacteria; Pseudomonadati; Pseudomonadota; Gammaproteobacteria; Enterobacterales; Enterobacteriaceae. The record is from RNAcentral.
AUUCUGCCCAUGCGGGGAAGGAUGAGAAGCUUCGACUAAGGUUCGGCUCGAGCGUCAGCGAGAGAGCGUUGCCGCAGGCAACGACCCGAAGGGCGAAGCGCGCAGCGCUGA